CCUCCAGCUGUGCCGCUGUUCCCCAGGGUCCUUGGAAGUCCUGGCCAGAGCAACAAGCCACAGAGCUCGGAAUAGAGUGACCACUGCUGAGAAACAGUCAGCAUCCUGGGAGUUCCAGCGGGAGAAAAUCUCUCUUCAGUGCGAAACCAGAAAGAGAUUUGGAGGACAAAUCCAGGCAACCCAACAUUCAAAGGAGAGGGGUUUCAGAAAAAGAAAGAAAAAAAGAACGUAUAAAGGGAAAACAGUAAUCGAACAAUUAAUUAAAGAACACUUUCUGAGCUGAAGAAAGCCUUGAUGAAAGGGGCUCAUGGAGCUCCAGGAAGGAUUAACUAAAAAGACAUAUACUUAGACCCUGGUGUAAUUCCUGAAUUAUAAACUUCCAGACAAAGAGGAGAGGUGCUUACAAAGGAAAAAAAAUCAGGUUGGUAUUGGCUUUCUCGUCAGCCAUCCUGCCACCCAAUCGCGACAUUGAUUUCAGAUACUUAAGGGACAAGGACAAUGACCCAAGAAUCCUAUAUCCACACAAGGUAUCAUUCACACAUCCAGGUGAUAACAAGAGGUGUCAGAGCUCGCAAAAUCCUGUACCCCAUCUGAGGAAGCUGCCGGAGAGAUGCUGCAGCCAAAACCAGGUGGAUUGGGGUGCAGCAAGGGAAACCAAAUGAUGACCUGGAGAUGGGAUCCAAAAUGACCUCAGCAAAGUCCAGCCAUUGGAGGACGGGAAGCGCAUGGAGAAUGAGAAGCAGAAAAGAGAAGGGGAGAAGACAACUGGAGGGCUUUCAUCUUGGUAGGCAAGAAAAACAUCUUGAUGGGAGGGCUGUGUCAAACACUUGUUUGAAAUUGAUAUGUCCGUGUGUUGGUUUAAAAAAUAAGUCCACAAAUUCUUCGAAGAUAUUCCCUUCAAGAGGUGGAGCUGAAUUCCCCUUCAGAGGAGUGUGGAAGGGACUUAGCAACUGUCUUCUGACCAACAGAAUGUAACAGCGUGAUGGGGUGCGACUCUGAGACAAAGCCAAAAAAGGCCCUGGGACUUCCUCCCCCGGACUUUCUCUGCUGGGAGCAGACCGAUGGGGGCCCAUGUCACGAAGAACUGAAGCCUCCUGCCAACAGCCACAUGGUGAGCCUGGAAGAAGACCCUACAGAGCCAUCAAGCUUCUGAUGACCGUGGUUGACACUUGUUUCCAGCCUCGUCAGAGGCCCCGAGCCAGACCACCCGGCCCAGCCACUCCCAGACUCCUGACUCUCAGAAACUCUGAGACACUAAGUUCCUGUUGUUUGAGCUGCUAAGUUUUGGGGUAAUUUGUUACACAGCAAUAGGUAACUAAUACAAUCUGUAAAGAAAUGCAGCUUUCUACGAUUCGUAGGGAUGGGAAGGUAACCAUUAUUGGGAAUGAAAAGUGUCACAGAAUUUCCAAAUUAAUAGGGCAAAGAAUGACGAGAAAUCUGAGCGAGCAAGCAAACGUGAGUAAAUGGGAAAGGGGAAAUAACAUAGCAAACA
This 1492-nucleotide long non-coding RNA is filed under the name Equus caballus (horse). RNAcentral's name for it is "lncRNA (ENSECAG00000039927.2)". Lineage: Eukaryota; Metazoa; Chordata; Mammalia; Perissodactyla; Equidae. The record is from RNAcentral.